This 483-nucleotide ribosomal RNA is filed under the name uncultured bacterium. Its description in RNAcentral is "partial 16S ribosomal RNA". It matches the Rfam family "Bacterial small subunit ribosomal RNA", at positions 30 to 506 of the family's 1533-position model. The record is from RNAcentral.
AUUGAACGCUGGCGGCAGGCCUAACACAUGCAAGUCGAGCGGAUGAAGGGAGCUUGCUCCUGGAUUCAGCGGCGGACGGGUGAGUAAUGCCUAGGAAUCUGCCUGGUAGUGGGGGAUAACGUCCGGAAACGGGCGCUAAUACCGCAUACGUCCUGAGGGAGAAAGUGGGGGAUCUUCGGACCUCACGCUAUCAGAUGAGCCUAGGUCGGAUUAGCUAGUUGGUGGGGUAAAGGCCUACCAAGGCGACGAUCCGUAACUGGUCUGAGAGGAUGAUCAGUCACCUGGGAACGGAGAACCGGUCCAAGCCCCGACGGGAGGCAGCAGGGGGGAAUUUGGGACAAUGGGCGAAAGCCUAAUCCAGCCAUGCCGGGUGGGUGAAGAAGUUCUUCGGAUUGGAAAGCACUUUAAGUUGGGAGGAAGGGAAGUAAGUUAAAACCUUGCUGUUUUGACGUUACCAAAAAAAUAAGCACCGGCUAACUUCUU